GUAGGGCGCGAGCGUUGUCCGGAUUUAUUGGGCGUAAAGAGCUCGUAGGCGGCUUGUCGCGUCGACUGUGAAAUCCCAUGGCUUAACUGUGGGUCUGCAGUCGAUACGGGCAGGCUAGAGUUCGGUAGGGGAGACUGGAAUUCCUGGUGUAGCGGUGAAAUGCGCAGAUAUCAGGAGGAACACCGGUGGCGAAGGCGGGUCUCUGGGCCGAUACUGACGCUGAGGAGCGAAAGCGUGGGGAGCGAACAGGAUUAGAUACCCUGGUAGUCCACGCUGUAAACGUUGGGCGCUAGGUGUGGGGGGCCUCUCCGGUUCUCUGUGCCGCAGCUAACGCAUUAAGCGCCCCGCCUGGGGAGUACGGCCGCAAGGCUAAA
This 374-nucleotide ribosomal RNA is filed under the name uncultured bacterium. Its description in RNAcentral is "bacterial SSU rRNA". It matches the Rfam family "Bacterial small subunit ribosomal RNA", at positions 527 to 898 of the family's 1533-position model. The record is from RNAcentral.